Molecule: ribosomal RNA, 252 nt
Filed under: uncultured bacterium
Lineage: Bacteria
Description: partial 16S ribosomal RNA
Rfam family: Bacterial small subunit ribosomal RNA
Source: RNAcentral
UACGAAUGUCGCACGCGUUAUCCUGAUUUAUUUGGCGUAAAGCGCGUCUAGGCGGAAAAAUAAGUCUGAUGUUAAAAUUCGGGGCUCAACUCCGUAUUGCGUUGGAAACUGUUUUUCUAGAGUACUGGAGAGGUGGGCGGAACUACAAGUGUAGAGGUGAAAUUCGUAGAUAUUUGUAGGAAUGCCGAUGGAGAAGUCAGCUCACUGGACAGAUACUGACGCUAAAGCGAGAAAGCGUGGGGAGCAAACAGG